GUCGAGCGCCUCCAGCUAUGGUGAAGGCGCGGCAAACGGCUCAGUAACACGUGGCCAACCUACCCUUGAGACGGAGACAACCCCGGGAAACUGGGGCUAAUCCCCGAUAGGUGAGGAAUCCUGGAAUGGACCCUCGCCCAAAAGACGUUGAGUCCAUGCUAUUCAGCGUCGCCCAAGGAUGGAGCCGCGACCGAUCAGGUAGUUGGUGAGGCAACGGCUCACCAAGCCUAUAACCGGUACGGGCCGUGAGAGCGGGAGCCCGGAGAUGGGCACUGAGACAAGGGCCCAGGCCCUACGGGGCGCAGCAGUUGCGAAAACUCCGCAAUGCGCGAAAGCGUGACGGGGCUACCCCGAGUGCCGCCCGUUGAGGGCGGCUUUUCCACGGUGUAAGGAGCCGUGGGAAUAAGGAGAGGGCAAGACUGGUGUCAGCCGCCGCGGUAAUACCAGCUCUCCGAGUGGUGGGGACGAUUAUUGGGCUUAAAGCGUUCGUAGCCGGCUUAACAAGUCUUCCGUUAAAUCCAACGAUCUAAUCGUUGGGCUGCGGGAGAUACUGUUGGGCUAGGAGGCGGGAGAAGCCGACGGUAUUCUCGGGGUAGGGGUGAAAUCCUGUAAUCCCGGGAGGACCACCAGUGGCGAAGGCGGUCGGCUAGAACGCGCUCGACGGUGAGGGACGAAAGCUGGGGGAGCGAACCGGAUUAGAAACCCGGGUAGUCCCAGCUGUAAACGAUGCGGGCUAGGUGUU
This 742-nucleotide ribosomal RNA is filed under the name uncultured archaeon. Its description in RNAcentral is "bacterial SSU rRNA". It matches the Rfam family "Archaeal small subunit ribosomal RNA", at positions 57 to 775 of the family's 1478-position model. The record is from RNAcentral.